This 497-nucleotide ribosomal RNA is filed under the name uncultured bacterium. RNAcentral's name for it is "partial 16S ribosomal RNA". It matches the Rfam family "Bacterial small subunit ribosomal RNA", at positions 28 to 507 of the family's 1533-position model. The record is from RNAcentral.
GAUGAACGCUGGCGGCGUGCCUAAUACAUGCAAGUCGAGCGAACAGACCAGGAGCUUGCUCCUCUGACGUUAGAGGCGGACGGAAGAGUCACACGUGGAUAAACUAACUAUAAGAAUGGGAUACCUUCGGGAAACCGGAGCUAAUACCGGAUAAUUUAUUGCACCGCAUGGUUCCAUAGUGAAAGUCGGUUUUGCUGUCAGUUAAAGAUGGAUAAGCCGCGCAUCAGUUAGUUGGUAACGUAACUGCUUACCAAGGCGGCGAGGCGUAGCCGACCUGAAAGGGUGAUCGCCCACACGGUAUCUGAGACACGGUCCAGACUCCGACGGGAGGCAGCAGUCGGGAAUCUUCCGCGAGGGAGCAGUGCCGAACAGUGCAACGCCGCGUGAGGCAUGAUGCUCUUCUGAUCGGAGAGCGCUGUAAGUAUUGGGGUAGUAAAGUUCUAGUAACUGUGCUCAUCUUGACAGUACCGGAUCAAAAAGCCACGGCUAACUACGUG